GGCGACCGGCGCACGGGUGAGUAACGCGUAUCCAACCGUUCCCCAUAGUAGAGAAUAGCCCGGCGAAAGUCGGAUUAAUGCUCUAUGUUGUAUCAUGAGGACAUCUGAAUAAUACCAAAGGUUCACCGCUAUGGGAUGGGGAUGCGUCUGAUUAGGUUGUUGGCGGGGUAACGGCCCACCAAGCCCACGAUCAGUAGGGGUUCUGAGAGGAAGGUCCCCCCACAUUGGAACUGAGACACGGUCCAAACUCCUACGGGAGGCAGCAGUGAGGAAUAUUGGUCAAUGGACGGAAGUCUGAACCAGCCAAGUAGCGUUGCAGGAUGACGGCCCUAUGGGUUGUAAACUGCUUUUAUACAGGGAUAAAGUGAGGGACGUGUCCCUUUUUGUAGGUACUGUAUGAAUAAGGACCGGCUAAUUCCGUGCCAGCAGCUGC
Molecule: ribosomal RNA, 433 nt
Filed under: uncultured bacterium
Lineage: Bacteria
Description: bacterial SSU rRNA
Rfam family: Bacterial small subunit ribosomal RNA
Source: RNAcentral